UACGUAGGGACCAAGCGUUGUUCGGAUUUACUGGGCGUAAAGGGCGCGUAGGCGGCGCGGUAAGUCACUUGUGAAAUCUCUGAGCUUAACUCAGAACGGCCAAGUGAUACUGCAGUGCUAGAGUGUGGAAGGGGCAAUCGGAAUUCUUGGUGUAGCGGUGAAAUGCGUAGAUAUCAAGAGGAACACCUGAGGUGAAGACGGGUUGCUGGGCCAACACUGACGCUGAGGAGCGAAAGCGUGGGGAGCGAACAGG
RNAcentral lists this ribosomal RNA (253 nucleotides) under uncultured bacterium. Its description in RNAcentral is "partial 16S ribosomal RNA". It matches the Rfam family "Bacterial small subunit ribosomal RNA", at positions 524 to 776 of the family's 1533-position model. The record is from RNAcentral.